UGGGGAAUAUUGGACAAUGGGCGAAAGCCUGAUCCAGCCAUGCCGCGUGUGUGAAGAAGGUCUUCGGAUUGUAAAGCACUUUAAGUUGGGAGGAAGGGCAGUAAGCGAAUACCUUGCUGUUUUGACGUUACCGACAGAAUAAGCACCGGCUAACUCUGUUCCAGCAGCCGCGGUAAUACAGAGGGUGCAAGCGUUAAUCGGAAUUACUGGGCGUAAAGCGCGCGUAGGUGGUUCGUUAAGUUGAAUGUGAAAGCCCCGGGCUCAACCUGAGAACUGCAUCCAAAACUGGCGAGCGAGAGUAGGGCAGAGGGUGGUGGAAUUUCCUGUGUAGAGGUGAAAUGCGUAGAUAUAGGAAGGAAAACCAGUGGCGAAAGCGACCACCUGGGCUCAUACUGACACUGAGGUGCGAAAGCGUGGGGAGCAAACAGG
RNAcentral lists this ribosomal RNA (429 nucleotides) under Pseudomonadota bacterium. Its description in RNAcentral is "Proteobacteria bacterium partial 16S ribosomal RNA". It matches the Rfam family "Bacterial small subunit ribosomal RNA", at positions 355 to 776 of the family's 1533-position model. Lineage: Bacteria; Pseudomonadati; Pseudomonadota. The record is from RNAcentral.